UACGUAGGGGGCAAGCGUUAUCCGGAUUUACUGGGUGUAAAGGGAGCGUAGACGGUAUGGCAAGUCUGAAGUGAAAGCCCAGGGCUUAACCCUGGGACUGCUUUGGAAACUGUUAGACUAGAGUGCUGGAGAGGUAAGUGGAAUUCCUAGUGUAGCGGUGAAAUGCGUAGAUAUUAGGAGGAACACCAGUGGCGAAGGCGGCUUACUGGACAGUAACUGACGUUGAGGCUCGAAAGCGAGGGGAGCAGACAGG
Molecule: ribosomal RNA, 253 nt
Filed under: uncultured bacterium
Lineage: Bacteria
Description: partial 16S ribosomal RNA
Rfam family: Bacterial small subunit ribosomal RNA
Source: RNAcentral